RNAcentral lists this long non-coding RNA (13029 nucleotides) under Triticum aestivum (bread wheat). RNAcentral's name for it is "long non-coding RNA (TAES_LNC022558)". Lineage: Eukaryota; Viridiplantae; Streptophyta; Magnoliopsida; Poales; Poaceae. The record is from RNAcentral.
AGACGACACAACAUUGUAUCUGCUCGCUAGUGUUUCUGAGAUGGUCGCUAACGAUAGUGAUGGUGAUACAAGAAAUAAUGCUCUUCUUCCUGCGAGGAGAACUAGGAAGGACGUCAUCAUCCAUGGUGAAGGGACUUCACAAGAAGGUGCAGCUAGAAACUGCACAGGAGGUACACUCUAGAAUACAGUGCUUAAAUAUUCGUAAUUAUGCAAAUGCUCACAGUUACAUAUAUACUCCUCCUUUGUUCUUCACUACUAGGAGAACUAGGAAGGACGUCAUCAUCCAUGGUGAAGGGACUUCACAAGAAGGUGGAGCUAGAAACUGCACAGGAGGUACACUCUAGAAUACAGUGCUUAAAUAUUCGUAAUUAUGCAAAUGCUCACAGUUACAUAUAUACUCCUCCUUUGUUCUUUAUAAGACAAUAAGUUUUGGGGAACUAGCACAACCCUCUAGGGGUGGCUUAUCUCAUUAUAUAUAAUGGUUGUGUUACAAUAUGUACCAUAUACGUACAUAGGUACAGAAGCUAUACAUAGUCUAACACCCUCCCUCAAUCUUAGCCACUUUCUAAAGAACUGAGAAGGGUAAGAUUGCGCCUACAAGCCUCAAACUGUGGCAGCGGUAAAGGCUUAGUGAAGAUGUCUGCAAGUUGAUUCUUAGAUGAGAUAAACUUGAUCUGGAGUUGCUUCUGUGAUACACGUUCCCGUACAAAGUGAUAGUCAACUUCAAUGUGUUUCAUUCGGGCAUGAAAUACUGGAUUUGCAGAAAGGUAUGUAGCACCGAUGUUAUCACACCAAAGAAUAGGAGUCUGUGGUUGAGACAAACCCAACUCCUGAAGCAAAGACUGCACCCAAAUAAUCUCUGCAGUAGCAUUAGCCACAGCCUUGUACUCAGCUUCAGUACUGCUACGUGACACAGUAGCCUGUUUCCGAGCACUCCAGGCGAUCAAAUUAGAGCCAAAGAAUACUGCAUAACCCCCCGUGGAUCGCCUGUCAUCUGGGCUACCAGCCCAAUCUGCAUCAGAGAAGGCCGAAAGGACCCGAGAGGAAGUCGGCCGAAUAUGCAUACCAAAUGUCAGGGUGAACUGAACAUAACGAAGAAUGCGUUUAACAGCAGCCCAAUGAGUAUCUCUGGGAGCCUGAAGAUACUGACAAACCCUGUUAACAGCAUAAGAGAUAUCUGGUCUCGUGAUCGUCAAGUACUGAAGUCCACCAACAAUGCUCCUGUACUCUGUGGCAUCCGCAGGAGACAAAAGCUCACCAUCAACAGUUGUUAUCUUGUCAGUAGACGACAUGGGUGUGGUGGUCGGUUUGCACUUCAGCAUGCCAGCUCUCUGUAACAACUCCAAGGAGUACUUCUUCUGCGUAAGGACAAGACCAGUAGCACGAGAAGUGACCUCAACUCCAAGAAAGUAGUGAAGCUUCCCAAGAUCUUUGACCGCAAAAUCAGCACCAAGAGAGCAGACAAGAGCAUCAGCAGCAUACUGAGAAGAGCUGACAAGGAUAAUAUCAUCGACAUAUACCAAAAGAUACAUAGUGACUUCUGGCUUCUGUAGAAGAAAUAACGAAGUGUCAGCAGUAGACGGCACAAACCCAUGAGCACGAAGGGCAGAGGCAAGGCGGGCAUGCCAGGCACGAGGAGCUUGCUUCAAACCAUAUAGUGCUUUGGAAAGACGACAGAUAUAGUCAGGACGAUCAGGAUCAGAGAAACCAGGCGGCUGUUUCAUAUAAACCUCUUCCUCCAAAAAUCCAUGUAGAAAAGCAUUCUGCACAUCAAGUUGACGAAGUGACCAACCACGAGAAACAGCAAUGGAGAGAAGAAGGCGAAUAGUGGUAGGCUUGACGACAGGACUGAAGGUGUCCUCAUAGUCAAGACCAUGACGCUGCCGAAAACCGCGAGCAACAAGUCGCGCUUUGUAACGCUCAAUAGAUCCAUCCGAAUGCUUCUUCACUUUGAAUACCCAUUUUGAGUCAAUAACAUUUACCCGUGGUGGUGGAGGAACGAGAGUCCAUGUCUUGUUACGAAGAAGAGCAUAAAACUCCUGCUCCAUAGCCUCUCGCCAAUGUGGAAUGCGCAGGGCAGCCUGAUAUGAGCGAGGCUCAGAAGAUGGAUCCGCAACAGCAGCAGCCAAACAAGCAGCCAACCAAGCAACCGUACCAUCCUUACGUUCCUUAGGUUUGAAAAUGCCACUGCGACUGCGUGUAUGUGGUCGGGACACAGGAACCACCGAGGUCGACGGAGCAGCCUGCAACGGGCUGGAGGACGGCGACGUUGACGAGUCAGCCGGUGACGAGGAGCCAGUCACGGUAGCCUCGGACUCGGUUGGCGAAGAAGGCCGACCCACCGGCGAAACCGGCAGAGCAGACGAAGCAGCUGGCGACUCCGUCAUCACAGACCGGGCCGAUGGCGAGCUCGGCAUAGUGGGCCGUGGCGCGGCCGGUGUCGCGGGCCGAUCCGCUGAUGAAGGCGACGUGAGGACCCGAGCCGCGGGCGAAGACGGCGUGACGGGCCGAGCCGCAGGCGAAGACGGCGUGACGGGCCGAGCCGCGGGCGACUCGGCGGCCGCUGGCGAAACGGACCGAGCAGUGGAGAUGCUCGGCGUGACAGGCUCGUCGGGUGACCAUGCAUGGGCACGCGAAUUGAUGCCAUGCAACAUAGGGCGAUCGACGUGCCCACCAGAAGACGACGAUGAUGAUGGUGAAUCCUCCAACAGCUCCAAACGAGCUCCACGUCCGGUUCCUGCACCAUGGUUAGGUAACAGCAAAGGAGAGUAUGCAACAUCAUCAAAUUGGUCAGAAGCAACAGAGGAUGAAUGCAGGGAUGGUGGUUCGACAGUGGACACUGGAAGGUUGGCAAAGGGAAAAACAUGCUCAUCAAACACGACGUCCCGAGAUAUAUAGACACGAUUAGUGGGAACAUGAAGACAUUUGUAACCUUUAUGAAGAGAGCUAUAGCCAAGAAAAACACACUUCUUAGAACGAAACUCAAGCUUGCGCUUGUUAUAUGGACGAAGAUGCGGCCAGCAAGCACACCCAAAUACCUUGAGAAAGGUAUAAUCAGGUUGUUCAUUAAGGAGAACCUCAAUGGGAGUCUUCAUGUUUAAAACACGAGUAGGAGUACGGUUGAUGAGAAAGCAUGCAGUGGUGAAAGCAUCACUCCAAAACCGAAACGGAACAGAUGCAUGGGCCAAAAGAGUAAGACCAGCUUCAACAAUAUGACGAUGCUUACGUUCGACUGAACCAUUCUGCUGAUGUGUAUGUGGACAUGCUAAACGAUGAGCUAUCCCAAGCGACUGAAAGAAAGAGUUGAGGUUGCGAUACUCGCCCCCCCCCCCAGUCUGACCGGACAUGAACAAUUUUGUGCUUGAGAAGACGUUCAACAUGUUUUUGAAACCGAACAAAAAUAUCAAACACAUCAGAUUUGCGUUUAAUAAGGUAAAGCCAGGUAAAGCGACUAUAAGCAUCAACGAAACUGAUAUAGUAAUUAUGACCACUGACAGAAGUCUGAGCAGGACCCCAUACAUCUGAAAACACAAGUUCUAAAGGAUGUUUCACCUCACGACUGGACUCCGAAAAAGGAAGUUGAUGACUCUUCCCCUGCUGACAAGCAUCACACACUGCUACAUCUUUAUGACUAGACAAACUAGGAAGCUCAUGACGACGCAAAAUAUGACGGACAAUAGGUGUGGUCGGGUGACCAAGACGAGCAUGCCACUGUGACGGAGAGACCCGAACUCCACUGAAAACACGAGCGACACCAGGAUGCUCCAGACUGUAGAGGCCCUGGCACAACCGCCCACUAAGAAGAAUGUCCCUCGUGCCCCGAUCCUUAAUAAAAAGAUCAAAAGGGUGAAAUUCACAAAGCACAUUAUUAUCACGUGUGAGUUUAGGAACUGAAAGAAGAUUACGGGUCACAGAUGGAACUCGAAGAACAUUGCGAAGCUGAAGACUCCUAUAGGCAUGUCUAGUGAGAAGAGAUGCUUGACCAAUAUGAGAGAUGUGCAUACCUGCUCCAUUGGCGGUGUGGAUCUUGUCGGAGCCAUGAUAGGAUUCAUGAGUGUGAAGCUUCCCCAUCUCGCUGGUUAGAUGCUCUGUCGCCCCAGAGUCCAUGUACCAGUGUGGAUCGAUGGAGUAGGACUGAGUGUGUCCCUGUUGCUUCUACGGCGCGGGACGAUCAGCCAUGGCGACCUGACGGGCAUUGUUGCGUGUAUCUUUGCCGUCAUUGCCAAGACCAAGGAAGCUUCGCUGGAAGCGCUUAUGACACUUGGAGGCCCAGUGCCCAUCGCGGCCACAAAGCUGACACACACGUGGACCGCCAGCCCCCGGUAAGGUCGCAGUAGGUGGGGGGGCCGAGGCGGGCGACGGUGGCAGCCCCAAGGGAGACCGGGGUGAUGAAGAAGAGCGGCCACCCUUGGUGGCGGCGUUGGCCGAGAGGGAGCCAGUGCCCCUGGUGCGGCGAGUCUCGACCCGUUGCUCAAUGAGAAGGAGCCGAGAGAAAACCUCGUGUGCCAGCAUGGGUGUCGAGUUGCCCCGCUCGUUGAUGAUCUCGACUAAGGCAUCAUACUCCUCAUCAAGACCAUUGACAAUAAACGAGUUGAACUCGGAGUCGGUGAGGGGCUGUCCAAUGGAGGCCAAUGUGUCGGCGAGGCCCUUGACCUUGUUGUAGAACUCAGUGGCAGUGGAGUCAAGUUUCUGACACUCUCCAAGCUGACGACGGAGUGCAGAGACACGAGCCUGGGACUGCGCUGCAAAGGUGCGCUCAAGGAUGGUCCAGGCCUCAUGAGACGUCUUUGCGAGGACAACAAGGCCGGCAACUGCCGGCGAGAGCGACCCCUGGAUGGAGGAGAGGUUCGCCUGGUCCUGCCCCGUCCAGACGCGAUGGGCUGGAUUGUAGACCGGACCGUGCACGCUGUCUACCAGCGCGGGUGGGCAGGGAAGCGAUCCGUCGACGUAGCCUAGCAGGUAGUGACUCCCCAAGAGCGGGAGAACCUGCGCACACCAGAAGAUGUAGUUGUCGGCGGAGAGCUUGAUGGUGAUGAGAUGACCGAAGUGAAACGGCGGCGGCGAAGACAAUCCCAUCGAGGAGGCUGCCUGGGGUGCAAACACCAUGGAGGCAGCCGGAGGCACCGAAGCCGAUGCGGGAGGAGGCGGGACCGCAGCCAGGGCGGGCGCCGCAAAGCUCGCGGCCGGUGCGGACGCCGCAAGGCCCGCGGCCGGGGCGGACGCCGCCAACCCCGCCAGCGGGGCAGUGUGAUCCGCUUGCGGCAGGAGCGGCGGGACGACGCCUGCGGAGUCCGCAGCNNNNNNNNNNNNNNNNNNNNNNNNNNNNNNNNNNNNNNNNNNNNNNNNNNNNNNNNNNNNNNNNNNNNNNNNNNNNNNNNNNNNNNNNNNNNNNNNNNNNNNNNNNNNNNNNNNNNNNNNNNNNNNNNNNNNNNNNNNNNNNNNNNNNNNNNNNNNNNNNNNNNNNNNNNNNNNNNNNNNNNNNNNNNNNNNNNNNNNNNNNNNNNNNNNNNNNNNNNNNNNNNNNNNNNNNNNNNNNNNNNNNNNNNNNNNNNNNNNNNNNNNNNNNNNNNNNNNNNNNNNNNNNNNNNNNNNNNNNNNNNNNNNNNNNNNNNNNNNNNNNNNNNNNAGCUCGCGGCCGGUGCGGACGCCGCAAGGCCCGCGGCCGGGGCGGACGCCGCCAACCCCGCCAGCGGGACAGUGUGAUCCGCUUGCGGCAGGAGCGGCGGGACGACGCCUGCGGAGUCCGCAGCGGACGGCGGCGCCGCGGUGUGGACCACGAGGUCACGCCCAAGCGAGGGCGCCGGCGGCGUGGAGAAGACGGAGCCGAUGCUCCUUGUCCCGAUCGGAGCCGGAACAAAGACGGCAUCGAGCGGGAGGUUGAGCAAAGCCGCAAGAGAGGCCGGGAGGAAGCCCGCAGCAGUGGAACCGGUGGUGGCGGCGCUCGACAUGGCGGCGGCGCGAUCGGUGGCGCGGCGGCGGCGGUGAAGGCGGCGGCGGCUGCGGCGGCGGUGCGGGUAUUAGGGUUUAGAAGCGGAAGCAAUCGUAACCUAGCGUGAUACCAUGUAAGACAAUAAGUUUUGGGGAACCAGCACAACCCUCUAGGGAUGGCUUAUCUCAUUAUAUAUAAUGGUUGUGUUACAAUAUGUACCAUAUACGUACAUAGGUACAAAAGCUAUACAUAGUCUAACAUUCUUCACUACUAGGAGCUUCCCGGGGAGCCCGAUAAUUAAGCUGGAAACACCAAAGAAAAGAGAAAGGGGCAUACAGGUGUGUGUGUUAAAAUUCACUAUCAAUUUAUUAAAGGUUAUGAAGAAAAAUAUAUAUUGAUCCUUGGAUUGUCACAUAUUUUACGCAUACAAUCUCCGGGGGAGUUUAUUACUUCAUGCAUCUUCUUAAGUGGGAUUAUAAAACAAAGUUUUAUUCUCACAAAAAAAAAUGAACUUCCGGCGACAUGUACACUGACCGUUUGAGUCCAUAUGUUAUACCGAGAAAGGCUUUCGCCCCGCUUUAUAAAUAAAGCAAACCGCCAUAAAGCACACAUACAAGGACUAGUCCAGAACACAAACACCCAAGUCUCACAAGAGGAAGUACAAUAGGUUUUGCUGAGGGCACAGCUCAACAAGCCCAAACAAAAAAUAAAAAAAGGAGCCGGAGAACACGUCCGGCGCCUAAUCUAGCUCUGGUGGUGGCGGAGGGAGCGGCGGUGACAGUCAGACGGCCAUCGAGCGAAGUUCGGUGAUGAAGGCGGAGAUGGCGUCCCGGUCCUGUGGGCGGCUAAGCGCCGCCAAAGCUACAAGUAACCAGAUAGUUUGAAGAGAGCGUCAGUAGCCCGUCGAAGAGGAAUGCGCUGGAUCACAAGCUUAUUGUGGAUCGUCCAGAUGGUCCAAGCGAGGGCCCCAAUCUCAAGCCACCUAAUGUGGCGAGAAGCUAGGGGGGAGUUAUGAAGUUCGACGAAUAGGUCAGGGAAGUUGGUGUGGCACCAAUUACCACACACCACCUCUCUAAAGCAGCUCCACACAAAUUGAGCGGACACACAACAGAAGAAUAUGUGGUUCGAGUCUUCGGGGACACCGCACAACGGGCAUAGGCGAGAACCAGGGCCAUUGCGCUUGCGCACCUCCACCCUAGACGGGGUCCGUCUGCGGAUCCAUUGCCACAUGAAGAUCCUAAUUUUUAGUGGCAGGCGGAUGGACCACACCGCCGUAAGGGGGGAGGGGUUGUGGAGGGGGCAAUGGCCUGGUAAAGAGACUUGGUGGAGAAUUGACCUGACGGCUCAAGACGCCACUAACCUGAUCCGAACCAGCAUCCACAACCGGCUCGUGGAGAGCGACACAAUCAAGAAACUCACCCCAGGCGGCGGAGUCCAGAGGCCCAAAUGGACUUCGGAAUGCGAGGCGCUCUAAGUCAAUAAGGGCCCUCUCUACUGAGAUCGAAGGGUCGACGGCGAUGGAGAAGAGGUCGGGGAAGCGCGCAUCGAAGGGGGUGUCGCCCGCCCACCGGUCAAACCAGAACAAAGUCGCAGCCCUAGAUCCAACCGAGAUGGAGGUCCCAAUGCGGAGGACUGGGAGAAGUUGGAUGACCGACUGCCAAAACUGGGAACCACCAGAUCUCUGACAGAAGGCUAGGGGUUGCCCACGUAGGUACUUGUUCUAGAUGAUGUCUAGCCAGAGGCCACCAUGACCUUGCGAAAUGCGCCAGAGCAAGCGGGAUAAGAGGGCAAUAUUCAUGCGCUUAGAGCACAUGAUACCGAGGCCUCCUUGUUUCCGAGGCUUGCAAAUGUCAGGCCAGCUAACCAUAUGGUAUUUCUUCUUAUUGUUAUCAUAUGCCCAAUAGAAACGAGACUGGACUUUGGCGAUCUCAUGGUGCAGAGUGUCGUGCAGGCUGUAGAAGCUCAUAAGGAAUAAGAGGAGGCUGGAGAGGAAGGAGUUGAUGAGAAUCGGCCGAGCCGCCUUCGACAGCCACCUACCCUGCCAUGGCUCUAUGCGCAUUUCCAACUUGGCCACGGUCGGACGCAAGUCAACAACAGUAAGCCUAGAGUCACUAAUGGCCGUUCCCAAGUAUGUCAUGGGGAAGGAGCCCAGGCGGCAGUUGCCGGUUGGCAAUGUCCAGGCACUCCGUCGGAGAGUAGCCCAUCACCAUCACAUCACUCUUGCCGAAGUUGAUCUUGAGGCCAGACAUUUGUUGGAAGCAGAGGAGAAGGAACUUAAGAUUAGAGAUGUCCGCCUCCGAGCCCUCGACCAUGAUGAUGGUGUCGUCAGCGUAUUGGAGAAGGUAGAUCCCAGAACCACCGUCAGGUGGGGGGUGAUCCCACGAAUAUGGCCCGCAGCCUUAGUUUUGUCCAGGAUAGCGGCCAGCGCGUCCACCACCAUAUUGAACAAGAAUGGGGAGAAGGGGCCGCCUUGUCUAACCCCACAAAGGGUGGGGAAGUAAGGACCAAUCUCGCCAUUGAUCUUCACGGCAGUGCGGCCGCAAGAAACCAUCCGCAUCACUCUGGUGAUCCACCGGUCGUCGAAGCCCUUCCGGAGCAGAACUUCCCGAAGGAAGGGCCAACUAACAGUGUCGUAAGCCUUAUGGAAAUCGAUCUUUGGCAAAACCGCCCUGAGGUGUUUAGAUCGGACCUCAUGAAGGACUUCAUGAAGCACUAGCACCCCAUCCAGGAUAUACCGCCCUUGAAUGAAGGUGGAUUGGUUGGGGUGGGUAAUGUAGUCGGCAAGCAGGGUCACCCUAUUGGCGUACCCUUUUGCCAGAAUCCAGAAGAUCACAUUGAUAACCGUGAUCGGUCGAAACUGGCGAAUGUCGGAGGCCCCGGGCACCUUGGGGAUGAGCGAAAUGAUCCCGUAGUUGAGGCGCCCGAGGUCGAUGGACCCAACGUAGAACUCGUCGAAGAUGGCCAUGAUCCCAGGCUUAAUCACAUUCCAGAAGGUCUGAAAGAAUUUAACCGGGAGGCCAUCCGGGCCCGGGGCCGAGGUAGGGUUCAUGCCUCUAAUGGCCGCCUAGACCUCGCCCUUGGAGAAGGGGGCCGUAUAAGGGCCGCGUUCUCCUCAACGGAAACUAGUUGGAGGCCAGUCCAACAAUCAGGAGCCAGAGAAAGGCCGCUCCUAGAAGCGGUGGAGAACAGGGACAUGUAGAACCCGUCGACAUGGGCUCGAAUGUCACUGGGAGACUGCAGAAGGGUCGCGCCAUCCCAGAGGAGGGGGGUGGUGUUGCGUCUACGGUGGCCAUUGGCAAUGGCCUGAAAGUAUAAGAAUCUUGCAUAUCCAUCAAAUUUAAAAGUAAUCAAAUGGGAUCUUGCCGAGAGAACAUCGGCGCUUCUGUCCUCGUCUAAUUAGUUCAUCGUUUGAGAUUCCAUGUUAGUGGCAGAGUAGUGCUCGCCUGGUCGAUCUAGUGGGAGUUCUACAUUGUUUAUUUUAAAGAUGCAUAAAUACUGAAACUCAAGGAAAUUAGGUAACUUGUGUAUGCUGGGAAAAGCAGCCCUCACACACAUGAGUGAUGCUCAAUAAAACCCAUUUUCAGGCAAAAUAACUCACUUCACUGAGCAUUUUUUUAAACAUGAUUUGGCAUGUGCAUACUUCUUUGGAGUUAACGGGCAGCUCGUACAAACUAGAGUUUUGUUUAUUUUAUAUUAUGAGAAGUACAUUUGUUGUUUGUGGUUGUUAAUUAAUAACAAAAUGAUAGAUCGAUAUUAAUAAGGAGAUAUAAUAUAUAAACAUGAUUCUGAGUAUUACGUUCGCACAUACAUUUUUUGUGAAAACCUUUGCACAUACUUUUUAUCAAGUAAUCUGCACCAAGUAGAAACAUAUAUCUCAUUGCAGUGUCGUAUACACAAUAUUGUAUGUCACAUUUUUUGUUGGUCCCUAAGUAAAAUUAUCAUCAAUAUUGUUUCCUAGAAACUUUGCAUUAAUGUUUUGUGCCAAUUAAAUUCUUAAAAUGAUUUUGUUGGACAUAUUAUGCUAAUUUAUUUGAUGGUUUCCAUAUUAUCACAUGUUCUGUAGUGGGAUUAUUUUCUGUUUUGAGGGUGGGAUUAUGUUCUCUUGGUAUCAUAAAAGCCUUGCCUGAUGUAUGCAAUCUUGGGAGCUAAUAUAUUUUGAAAACAAAAUUGUUUCACACUAGUUGGUGGAGUGUAUGGAGGUGUGCAGAUGUGAAUACAUCCACCAUGGAUUGAAUCUGAAUUCUCAAUUUAUGCACGCAAGGGAAUGCGUUUGGUAGGAAGGUAAUUUUUUAGAUGUGUUAAUAUAUACCCAACUCGUGAGAAAUGUAGAUGUCCGUACAAAAGUCUGCUCAGUCUUAUUAUGUGUCUGGUGGUAUGUGUACAUGGAUGAGUUAUUCCUCGUAUUAGAAAAGCACAGGAAGUCAUAAAAUAUACCGACAGAAGAAGACCGUACGUUCCUGAAACAGAAUAGUCAUUUCUCUGUUAGUCAGGUUUUGUCGGUUCCAUUAUAUGUAAGCAAGAGAUGGAUUAGGAAAUCACAUCUAUGAUCUAUAUAAAUGGCCGAAACUCAAGGAAAUUAGGUAACUUGUGUGUGCAGGAAAAAAACAGCCCUCACACACGUGAGUGAUACUCAAUAAAAACCUUUUUUAAGCAAAAUUACUCACUUCAGUAAGCAUUUCUUUAAACACGAUUUAUCAUGCAUACUUUUACGAAGUUAACGGGCAACUCAUACAACUAGAGCUUUUUAUAUUAUGAGAAGUGCAUUUAUUGUGUGUGGUUGUUAAUUGGUAACAAAAUGAUAGAUCGUUUUUUUCGAACCAUGCAUGACGACUGCAUGUAAAUAUAUAGAUAGAAAGAGGAGUACAACCGGCAAAAUCAGGCACAUGUACAAAUACAGCACAAGCCAAAACAAGCAGAGAGAAAAAGAGAGGAAACUCUAGGAACAAAAACAAACUAAUCGAACUCCGCCAUAUCAGGCACAGCCAUCCCAUUUUUGCUUGCAGUGUCCCAUAUUUUAGCCUCCAUUUUGAUCUUGUCAAGAAGCCGCUGAAUCGGAGUGUGUGGCUUUUUUUAUCAAAAACUCUACUGUUCCGUUCUCUCCAAAUCGACCAAACGACCAACAUAACUACAGAGUUCACAGUUUUUUCUUUAGCACCUUCCAUCCUUAUCCUUGCUCGACUCCUCCACUCUCCAAGAUCAGAGCCAGCAGUAGAUCGAUAUUAAUGAGAUAUAACAUAUAAACUUGAUUCUGAGUAUUACCUUAGCAGAUUCAUUUAUUUUUUGGUGAAAACCUUUAUAUUUUAUAACAUAUACUGUUUGAUAUUAAUAAGGAGAUAUAACAUCAGUAUUAACUUUUCUUUGAAUCUUAAAAGCCUUGUCUGAUGUAUGCAAUCUUGAAAAUUUAUAUAUUUUGAGGAAAAAAGUAAUAUGAUCGUUCCUUCCCGUAACAGAAUAGUCAUUUCUCUGUUGGCCGGGUUUCGUCGGUUGCAUUAUAUGUAAGCAAGAGAUGGAUUAGGAAAUCACAUCUAUGAUAUAUAUCACAGAGAAAAAAGGUCUAAUCGACUCAAGGAACAGAUAAAUAUUGUGGUCACUUGGAGAAGGGUUCCUCGUUGCUAUUGCCGUGGAGCUCAUUGUACACUAUAUAUGGGCAUAAAUGACGAUUAUAGCUCAAUAGUUCUACAUCCCUUAUGCUAUUGAAGCAAUCGUCCUUGAUCUAUCAAAGAUAGUUUUCCAUAUGACAUAUGCAACAUGUUGUGUUGUACCACAUCUAGAAUUUCUAAGUCAAAACCAAUAACAUAUACCUAGAUAUUAUGCAUGUUCGAUCUCCGAGACAACAUAUUUUGAUGCUUUGUUGUAAUCAUUAUAUUAUGUAAUUUAUUAAAUUAAUAGUGUAAUUAAUUGCCACCCAGUGUUCCGUUAUUACAGUUAGCAAUAUUGCCAUCUCAAGUUGGUAUUGCUAGAGUAAUAUGUGUAAGUUCUAAAGUUCACUUUUUAGGAGUUAGGUUGCCAUUGAAGUGAAAUUUUCUAGGUGGUGUUAGAGAAGUAUCUUGACAACUGGGUAGGAUUAACAAGACUUUUAUUGGAUAUCUAAUGAAGGUAGUUUGGGUUCGCAGACCAUCUGUUUUAGUAACUGUGUUUGGGGCCGCCACCACGUGGAUCCUCCCACCACGUCUCCGGGGCCGCCGCCCCGAAAUCCUGCACCUUUGCCCCCAUCGAAAGGAUCAGUCCCCUCAAAGCCACGCCGCGAGCUCCAACAUCUGUCUGCACCUGAGCGUCGCCACUAGGAUCUGCAUAAGCAUGAGAAGUUGAUGUCCGCGAACUCACAUGCCUGAAGAAAUGUCAUGACAACAAACUCCGCGAGUGUGACCUUCAGGUUGGGCGGCAACUCCAAACGCCUCCCCCACAGGAUUUACAGACAUUUUAGGACUCGGGAGUGUUGUGUAGCCUGGGAAUCAAAUUGGCUUCCUCGCGCGUGUGUGUUGCUUGCUCUGUUGUGUAGUUGUGCAAGACGAUGGUCUGGUGACUAGUCUGAUUGGGUACGUGCAUGCUAUCAUGGGGCAUGUGGAGAGUUGAUUGUUGUUCUUGGAAUAUGUUUGUCAUGUGCAUGUAGUGGUCGUGUCCAUACAUUUUUCGCAGGAAAUAUUUGUUGGAUUGUAAUUCAGAACUGCUCUUCCUUGCUAAAUACAUUUGUGGAAUAUCAAUUCUUGUAAGAUAAUUGACUUACUUAUUAUUAUUUUCAGGUCACCAUUGGUAUAAGGAUUUUGCAUCAGUUCCAAGAGUCAUGUUUGUCGAGCUAAAAGGAUCUAUUGCUAGAAUUUUUCUAAUAUUUUGGGCAUUUUAAUAUAUAUCUGCUGAAUUAGUACCCUUGUUGGGUGGAGUACAUUCACCAAAACCCGGUGUUAUAUUUAGUGCUUUUGGCUAUGAUGUAAUUGUAGAGUGCAGGAUGGAUUGUUAUGCUUUUUGUUGUGAUCUAGUAUUGAGCUUUUGAACGUACAAAUUUACACCUAUGAUCGAUUGCUGAGAUAUAUAUUAUGUCCUAGUAGAUGCAACUUUAAUUACUCUGCAUGUGUGUUGUAGAUUAUGAACGUAAGUGAUGAUCA